This 252-nucleotide ribosomal RNA is filed under the name uncultured bacterium. Its description in RNAcentral is "partial 16S ribosomal RNA". It matches the Rfam family "Bacterial small subunit ribosomal RNA", at positions 524 to 776 of the family's 1533-position model. The record is from RNAcentral.
UACAGAGGGUGCGAGCGUUAAUCGGAAUUACUGGGCGUAAAGCGUGCGUAGACAGUUGCGUAAGUCGGAUGUGAAAUCCCCGGGCUCAACCUGGGAAUUGCAUUCGAGACUGCGUAGCUGGGGUGCGGAAGAGGGAAGCGGAAUUUCCGGUGUAGCGGUGAAAUGCGUAGAUAUCGGAAGGAACAUCAGUGGCGAAAGCGGCUUCCUGGUCCAGCACCGACGUCAGGCACGAAAGCGUGGGGAGCAAACAGG